CGCCGACCCGUCGUUAGCUGCCGCGUGCCGCUCCGCCUCCUGUGGAAGCCCCUCGUCUCACGCAUUUGCAUCUCCGAGUACAAAGGACGUGAAGAGCUGAUACCGUCGCUGAUUUCUCUCCUGGUUACUCGUGCACCAACACCCCGAGAAAAGGACACACGUGUGAAAAAGCGAAGGUGAGGAGGAGAUUCAAAGCAGUGCGGAUCAGCGCGUUGGUGUCUGCGAG
This is a long non-coding RNA of Physeter macrocephalus (sperm whale), 226 nucleotides long. RefSeq lists it as uncharacterized. NCBI's taxonomy places the organism in Eukaryota, Metazoa, Chordata, Mammalia, Artiodactyla, Physeteridae. The transcript has 3 exons. The record is from RefSeq and is a predicted model, not a curated record.